GUGAGUCAGCAGAGCCCCCGGGGUACCCUAAACCCGGGGCUGCGCCUGGGGGCUGAGCCUGGGGGCCCCGUGGGGAAACUCUCCUGCUCGAGCAGGCGCAACUCAGUUCCUCCCUGACCCUGACCAACCUCCAUCCGCUCGCCCUCGUGACGCCAGAGUUGGCCACUCCGAAUGCACUCGCGUGUGGCCCUGCCUGGUCUGCUGCGACUUCCUCCCCAGCUGGGGACGCACUUGACAGAUUCCUGGGUGUUGCGUGUUUAGCCAUCUCUGUAACCCCAGGGCUGGAAUCUCCUUAGCUGGUGAGCGGAGAAGUGAUUAAAACACCCUUAACUGGGCUGGGGAUUUAGCUCAGUGGUUUCGCCGCCUGCUGCGCAAGCAGUGACCUGAGUUCAAUCCCCGGUACCAAAAAAUAAAAAAAUAAAAAAUAAAACACCCCUAAUUAAGGACAACUAUAGCCCUCAAAAAUUAGAGGCUCAUAGCCGGGUAUGGUGGCAACUACACAGGAGGCUGAGGCAGGAGGAUCCCGUGAGUUCAAGGCCAGCCUGAACUACUGUGUCUCCAACAAAGCAAAAACAGAAAGAGAAGCAGUUCCAAGAGAGAUGGCACUAUCUCUGCUCCUCCACCCCACCCCACAUGCUCUUCCUGAACCUCGGAGCAGAAGUUCACAGCACCACCUUCCCCCAGAUUAAUUUGCCAAGCCAGAAAUGCAAAGGACACGCCUCCUCCCCCAUCCCGACCGCCGUCUCCACCGUCUCUACCGUUCAGUCUGCAGACUGCACUGAGCAGGCGCCGGGAAUGAGCCGUGUGAGGAAAACGGGCUGAGUGUGGCUCGAGACAAAGGGUUUCAGUGAGACAGGCUGUGUGACAGAAGCCUCGGAGAGUGUAGGGAAACGAAUGAAGGACACAGAAGGAGAAGCCCUGGGGAAGGGACAUCGGUUAGAAUUCUUCUGGGGUCAAAGGGGAGGACAGGUGAUGGAAAGAAAGGGAAGAUUCUCUGAAAAAUAAUUUGGAAAAAUUCCUUUAAGUCCAGCAGCAGGAUCCUGGUUAAAUAAAUUAUGUCACUCUACAGAAGAGUGUGAAGCUAUUUAAAAUGAUGCCGCAGAAGGACAGUUAGCGACAUGCACAGAUUCAGGGCAGAACACAACACACUGGCAUUUCUUGCUCAAGGAGAAUAUGAGCCUUUAAUUAGAGCUUGCUUUUCCUGGCAAAGACAGUAUGUAUUAAAAACCUUUUACCCCAAACACACGUUUAAGGAGACAAAGAACUACCUGCUUCCAGGCCAGGGAUUUUAGCUCAGUGGCGCCACCUGCUUUGCAAGCGCAAAGUUCCUGAGUUCGAUCCCCAGUCCCCCCUCAAAAAAAGAACUGCGUGCUUCCUCACAGGAACACAUCCUGGACAACCACAAAGUCAAUCAUUCAGAGAUGUCAAAACUGGGCGUGGUGGCCCCCACCUGUGAUCCCAUCACUGGGGAGGCUGAGGCAGGAGGAUUGCCAUGAGUGCAAGGC
RNAcentral lists this long non-coding RNA (1505 nucleotides) under Heterocephalus glaber (naked mole-rat). RNAcentral describes it as "lncRNA (ENSHGLG00000032700.1)". The record is from RNAcentral. Lineage: Eukaryota; Metazoa; Chordata; Mammalia; Rodentia; Bathyergidae.